RNAcentral lists this ribosomal RNA (1110 nucleotides) under fungal endophyte. RNAcentral describes it as "eukaryotic LSU rRNA". The stretch from base 513 to 1110 matches the Rfam family "Eukaryotic large subunit ribosomal RNA", at positions 1 to 603 of the family's 3401-position model. The record is from RNAcentral. Lineage: Eukaryota; Fungi.
UUACCGAGUGAGGGCCCUCUGGGUCCACCUCCCACCCGUGUCUAUCGUACCUUGUUGCUUCGGCGGGCCCGCCGUUUCGACGGCCGCCGGGGAGGCCUUGCGCCCCCGGGCCCGCGCCCGCCGAAGACCCCAACAUGAACGCUGUUCUGAAAGUAUGCAGUCUGAGUUGAUUAUCGUAAUCAGUUAAAACUUUCAACAACGGAUCUCUUGGUUCCGGCAUCGAUGAAGAACGCAGCGAAAUGCGAUAAGUAAUGUGAAUUGCAGAAUUCAGUGAAUCAUCGAGUCUUUGAACGCACAUUGCGCCCCCUGGUAUUCCGGGGGGCAUGCCUGUCCGAGCGUCAUUGCUGCCCUCAAGCACGGCUUGUGUGUUGGGCCCCCGUCCCCCUCUCCCGGGGGACGGGCCCGAAAGGCAGCGGCGGCACCGCGUCCGGUCCUCGAGCGUAUGGGGCUUUGUCACCUGCUCUGUAGGCCCGGCCGGCGCCAGCCGACACCCAACUUUAUUUUUCUAAGGUUGACCUCGGAUCAGGUAGGGAUACCCGCUGAACUUAAGCAUAUCAAUAAGCGGAGGAAAAGAAACCAACAGGGAUUGCCUCAGUAACGGCGAGUGAAGCGGCAAGAGCUCAAAUUUGAAAGCUGGCCCCUUCGGGGUCCGCGUUGUAAUUUGCAGAGGAUGCUUCGGGUGCAGCCCCCGUCUAAGUGCCCUGGAACGGGCCGUCAUAGAGGGUGAGAAUCCCGUCUGGGACGGGGUGUCUGCGUCCGUGUGAAGCUCCUUCGACGAGUCGAGUUGUUUGGGAAUGCAGCUCUAAAUGGGUGGUAAAUUUCAUCUAAAGCUAAAUACUGGCCGGAGACCGAUAGCGCACAAGUAGAGUGAUCGAAAGAUGAAAAGCACUUUGAAAAGAGAGUUAAACAGCACGUGAAAUUGUUGAAAGGGAAGCGUUUGCGACCAGACUCGCCCGCGGGGUUCAGCCGGCAUUCGUGCCGGUGUACUUCCCCGUGGGCGGGCCAGCGUCGGUUUGGGCGGCCGGUCAAAGGCCCUCGGAAUGUAUCACCUCUCGGGGUGUCUUAGUAGCCGAGGGUGCAAUGCGGCCUGCCUGGACCGAGGAACGCGCU